AUACGGAGGGUGCAAGCGUUAUCCGGAAUCAUUGGGUUUAAAGGGUCCGUAGGCGGACUAUUAAGUCAGAGGUGAAAUCCCACAGCUCAACUGUGGAACUGCCUUUGAUACUGGUAGUCUUGAGUUAUAUGGAAGUAGAUAGAAUGUGUAGUGUAGCGGUGACAUGCAUAGAUAUUACACAGAAUACCGAUUGCGAAGGCAGUCUACUACGUAUAUACUGACGCUAAGGGACGAAAGCGUGGGGAGCGAACAGGAUUAGAAACCCUAGUAGUCC
Molecule: ribosomal RNA, 274 nt
Filed under: uncultured bacterium
Lineage: Bacteria
Description: partial 16S ribosomal RNA
Rfam family: Bacterial small subunit ribosomal RNA
Source: RNAcentral